This 70-nucleotide transfer RNA is filed under the name Sericostoma personatum. Its description in RNAcentral is "tRNA-Lys". Lineage: Eukaryota; Metazoa; Arthropoda; Insecta; Trichoptera; Sericostomatidae. The record is from RNAcentral.
UCAUUAGAUAACUAAAGUAAGAUAUGGUCUCUUAAACCAAAUAUAGUAAAUAACGCAUACUUCUAAUGAU